GGGUGCGUGGCGCAAUGGUAGCGUGUUCGGCUUCGAUGCCUACUCGCGUAACCGAAAGGCUGCAGGUUCGAGCCCUGCCGUGCUCA
Molecule: non-coding RNA, 86 nt
Organism: Mycena galopus ATCC 62051
Lineage: Eukaryota; Fungi; Basidiomycota; Agaricomycetes; Agaricales; Mycenaceae
Source: the annotation of a GenBank genome assembly